CAGUUCUCUGCCUCAACAAGAAUGGAGUGCUCGAACGAAGAAUUUAGCAGAGUUUUGAGAUAGAAAAAUGAGCUUAAAGAAUAACGUAUCUGGGUCCCCCUCUUUAUAGGUGGAGGAGGCAACGGAUUGAUGGCGACGUUUGUAACCGUCCGGUAGUGAGCCGCCCAUGGUCAGGAGAAUUUAUUGCAAAGGGUAGUGGGGUAGACCCAUGGCUAUUGUCAUAGCCUGCCACGUAGGGCCUGUCGCAGGUAGUGGAGCGGCGUCCGUUACCGCUAGUUGUCAGCGAG
This 287-nucleotide long non-coding RNA is filed under the name Elaeis guineensis (African oil palm). RNAcentral describes it as "long non-coding RNA (EGUI_LNC074001)". The record is from RNAcentral. Lineage: Eukaryota; Viridiplantae; Streptophyta; Magnoliopsida; Arecales; Arecaceae.